Molecule: ribosomal RNA, 497 nt
Filed under: uncultured bacterium
Lineage: Bacteria
Description: partial 16S ribosomal RNA
Rfam family: Bacterial small subunit ribosomal RNA
Source: RNAcentral
GAUGAACGCUGGCGGCGUGCCUAAUACAUGCAAGUCGAGCGAACAGACGAGGAGCUUGCUCCUCGGACGUUAGCGGCGGCCGGGUGAGUAACACGUGGAUAACCUACCUAUAAGACUGGGAUAACUUCGGGAAACCGGAGCUAAUACCGGAUAACAUGCUGAACCGCAUGGUUCAACAGUGAAAGACGGUCUUGCUGUCACUGAGAGAUGGAUCCGCGCCGCAUUAGCUAGUUGGUAAGGUAACGGCUUACCAAGGCAACGAUGCGUAGCCGACCUGAGAGGGUGAUCGGCCACCCUGGAACGGAGACACGGUCGAGCCGCCUACGGGAGGCAGCAGUAGGAAAUCUUCCGCAAUAGGCGGAAGCAUGCCGGAGCAACGCCGCGUCAGGGAAGAAGGUCUUCGGAUCGUAGAACUCUGUUAUUAGGAGAGAACAAAUGUGUAAGUAACUGUGCACGUCUUGACGGUACCUAAACAGAAAGCCCCGGCUAACUACGUG